GGGUCUGUAGCUCAGCUGGUUAGAGCACACGCUUGAUAAGCGUGGGGUCGCUGGUUCAAUUCCAGCCAGACCCACCA
This 77-nucleotide transfer RNA is filed under the name Solimonas sp. SE-A11. Its description in RNAcentral is "tRNA-Ile". It matches the Rfam family "tRNA". From Rfam's summary of the family: Transfer RNA (tRNA) molecules are approximately 80 nucleotides in length. Their secondary structure includes four short double-helical elements and three loops (D, anti-codon, and T loops). Further hydrogen bonds mediate the characteristic L-shaped molecular structure. tRNAs have two regions of fundamental functional importance: the anti-codon, which is responsible for specific mRNA codon recognition, and the 3' end, to which the tRNAs corresponding amino acid is attached (by aminoacyl-tRNA synthetases). tRNAs cope with the degeneracy of the genetic code in two manners: having more than one tRNA (with a specific anti-codon) for a particular amino acid; and 'wobble' base-pairing, i.e. permitting non-standard base-pairing at the 3rd anti-codon position. The record is from RNAcentral. Lineage: Bacteria; Pseudomonadati; Pseudomonadota; Gammaproteobacteria; Nevskiales; Nevskiaceae.